AAUAAGGUUUUUUUUAAAACCAUUUAAGUUAUUUUGCUAGUUCUGU
Non-coding RNA from Tauraco erythrolophus (red-crested turaco), 46 nucleotides. Lineage: Eukaryota; Metazoa; Chordata; Aves; Musophagiformes; Musophagidae. The record is from Rfam.